Vidua chalybeata is the source of this 1008-nucleotide long non-coding RNA. RefSeq lists it as uncharacterized. Lineage: Eukaryota; Metazoa; Chordata; Aves; Passeriformes; Viduidae. The transcript has 3 exons. The record is from RefSeq and is a predicted model, not a curated record.
UGCUUUUCAAGACUGUGUUGUGCAACAUGAUUAUUUUUUAAACACCAUGAUUGAUUCCUCUCCCAAAGAUAAAGGAUGCUUCAAUAGAAUAAAGGUGAACAAGUUUACUUUUAAAUUCCAGCUGUAAUAUAAGUUUGGAUCAGAAUUGCCCAGGAAGCCUAGAUAAGAUCAGUUGUCAAAAAAAAGUACAUGUUUCAGCUGCUGUGUAAGGGAAGCCUAGAAGACAGAGUUACAGUGGACCUUGGAGUUGCCGUCUGCCAGCAAGGAAUAACAUGCAGCUCGUGAGUCACUGCCCCAGUGUAAGCAGACAAAGCUCUCACAGAGUCAGAGCAGGAUCCACUUGUAAUGCAGAUAGCAGAGAAGAUAAACAGCUGAUGGAAAAGGAUCAUCUGGCAAAACAAUGGAGCAUUGCAGUCUGAACUGUAAGGGAAUUGUAUCUGUGGAACAGGGAAAAAAAAGAACCCUUCCCUUUCUAAAGCUAGGUGGAGACCUAAGUAUCCUAAUGAGUCUCUGCAGCUUGGCCAUAGUAUGCCUAAACACCACUGUGUUAAUUCUCCAAGAGUAGGAGGCAAAUAAAACCUUCAUCAGUGACUAGACAAUGGCAGAUGUUUUCUGGAUAAAUGGAGCUCUGUUUUUCCUGAUCUCCUUGUUUACCUGCAAAAAGUGUGCUGGAGGCUGUACUCUGCAUUCAUUUCCAAGCUAGGCAUCUGCAUGAUAGAUGCUAAACCUGAAGCAGCUUUUAUAAGAUUUCUUUGCAUGAAUAAAAUCAGUUGUCUCUGAAGGUGAUUAAUUGCAUCUGGACUUAUAGGAUUGCUCAGAGAAUUUGUCUUCUGGGUAAUCUAUUAUUCUCUCUCCUUUGGGUCUGCUGAGAGUAUAGUAACUAAUUCAGAUGAAAUUUUCAAUCUUUUAACUGUUUAAAACUAAAUAAGGUGAAGCUUAUAUUGUCUGAGUUUUAGCUUGAAGAAGGAUAGGAUAAAUAUAUUAAAAAUAAAAGGUUUUUCCUGUUUA